This 252-nucleotide ribosomal RNA is filed under the name uncultured bacterium. RNAcentral's name for it is "partial 16S ribosomal RNA". It matches the Rfam family "Bacterial small subunit ribosomal RNA", at positions 525 to 776 of the family's 1533-position model. The record is from RNAcentral.
ACGUACCGGACAAACGUUAUUCGGAAUCACUGGGCUUAAAGAGUGCGUAGGCGGCUUUACAAGUUGGGUGUGAAAUCCCACGGCUCAACCGUGGAACUGCGCUCAAAACUGUAAGGCUUGAGGGAGACAGGGGUGAGCGGAACUGAUGGUGGAGCGGUGAAAUGCGUUGAUAUCAUCAGGAACACCGGUGGCGAAGGCGGCUCACUGGGUCUCUACUGACGCUGAGGCACGAAAGCUAGGGUAGCGAACGGG